RNA transcript from Pistacia vera, 1255 nucleotides. It is a transcript of the gene named ATP-dependent Clp protease proteolytic subunit 2, mitochondrial, with no coding region annotated. Lineage: Eukaryota; Viridiplantae; Streptophyta; Magnoliopsida; Sapindales; Anacardiaceae. The transcript is spliced from 4 exons. The record is from RefSeq and is a predicted model, not a curated record.
GGAGGAUAAGUGGAAGUUUCAAGUUUCAACCCUAAACCCUAGAAUCCGCUUUCCUUCUCAAAUUCCAUCAAACGAAAAUGCAAAGUAUGAGGAGUCUGAUUUCAAGCAGCGGCAUGAGGAGGAUUUUACAAUCAUCAAAAGCAUCAUCAUCAGUAAUCGCAUCUCGUUCUUACUCUCUCAUUCCGAUGGUGAUUGAGCAUUCCUCCCGAGGCGAAAGAGCCUACGACAUUUUCUCUCGUCUUCUCAAAGAGAGAAUCGUUUGCAUCAACGGACCCAUCAAUGACGACACUGCCCACGUUGUCGUCGCUCAGCUCCUCUUCUUAGAGUCUGAAAACCCUUCCAAGCCUAUUCACAUGUAUCUUAACUCUCCCGGUGGACAAGUCACUGCAGGCCUUGCAAUUUAUGAUACCAUGCAAUACAUUCGAUCUCCAAUUAAUACCAUUUGUUUGGGUCAAGCUGCAUCGAUGGCUUCCUUGCUUUUAGCUUCAGGUGCCAAGGGGGAGAGGCGGGCACUACCAAAUGCGACGGUCAUGAUUCAUCAGCCGUCUGGAGGGUACAGUGGGCAGGCAAAGGAUAUGACGAUUCACACAAAGCAGAUAGUUCGGGUCUGGGAUUCGCUGAAUGCUUUGUAUUCAAAGCACACGGGGCAGUCAGUAGACAUAAUUCAAAAGAAUAUGGAUAGAGAUUACUUUAUGACCCCGGAAGAGGCAAAGGAAUUUGGUAUAAUUGACGAAGUUAUUGAUCAAAGACCAAUAUCUUUGGUGACUGAUGCUGUUGGGAAAGAAGGCAAAGAAGGGAAAGAAGGCAAAGAAGGGAAAGAAAAAGGUUCAAGUUAGGAUUGAGGGUGUAAAAUCUUCAUGAGUGAAAAAGAGGGCCGCUUUGUAGAGCACAUACAAAAAGCUGAUCUUGGUCCAUUCCUCACAGCUUGACUUAUUCUUUGCAUACUGAUGCAGCCAUUGAAAAGAAUGUUGUUAUUAAUUUCCGUCAAAUUGACUACAUUAUCUUUCAAUUUGGUGAGCAAGUUGGCACAUACAAUUAUGGAUCCUGGUUUAUGAUUAUCCUGGAUUUGGUUAUAAAUAAGCAGGACUGUGCUGGAUUUUAUGUGAGCUAUUGAUGAAUGUUUACUCUUUAUUUGGUAAAUUUGUGGUAAAGAAGCUAAAAUCUAUGAGAUAUGUUGGGUAUUUUAGUGUUGUGUGAAAUACAUUAAGUACUUUUCAGAGUUGAUCAACUUGAUUGUGAGGGUUGAUGUUUUACA